RNAcentral lists this ribosomal RNA (301 nucleotides) under uncultured bacterium. Its description in RNAcentral is "partial 16S ribosomal RNA". It matches the Rfam family "Bacterial small subunit ribosomal RNA", at positions 509 to 808 of the family's 1533-position model. The record is from RNAcentral.
CAGUAGCCGCGGUAAUCCGUAGGGGGCAAGCGUUAUCCGGAAUAACUGGGCGUAAAGGGUGCGCAGGUGGUUUAACAAGUUAGUGGUGAAAGGCAUAGGCUCAACCAAUGUAAGCCAUUAAAACUGUUUAACUUGAGUGCAGGAGAGGAAAGUGGAAUUCCUAGUGUAGCGGUGAAAUGCGUUGAUAUUAGGAGGAAUACCAGUGGCGAAGGCGACUUUCUGGACUGCAACUGACACUGAGGCACGAAAGCGUGGGGAGCAAACAGGAUUAGAUACCCCUGUAGUCCCUGUCUCUUAUACA